This 252-nucleotide ribosomal RNA is filed under the name uncultured bacterium. RNAcentral describes it as "partial 16S ribosomal RNA". It matches the Rfam family "Bacterial small subunit ribosomal RNA", at positions 524 to 776 of the family's 1533-position model. The record is from RNAcentral.
UACAGGGGGUGCAAACGUUGCUCGGAAUCACUGGGCGUAAAGCGCACGUAGGCGGACUCUUAAGUCAGGGGUGAAUCCCAGAGCUCAACUCUGGAACUGCCUUUGAUACUGGGUAUCUUGAGUAUGGAAGAGGUAAGUGGAAUUGCGAGUGUAGAGGUGAAAUUCGUAGAUAUUCGCAGGAACACCAGUGGCGAAGGCGGCUUACUGGUCCAUAACUGACGCUGAGGUGCGAAAGCGUGGGGAGCAAACAGG